RNAcentral lists this transfer RNA (73 nucleotides) under Stegodyphus mimosarum. It matches the Rfam family "tRNA". From Rfam's summary of the family: Transfer RNA (tRNA) molecules are approximately 80 nucleotides in length. Their secondary structure includes four short double-helical elements and three loops (D, anti-codon, and T loops). The record is from Rfam by way of RNAcentral. Lineage: Eukaryota; Metazoa; Arthropoda; Arachnida; Araneae; Eresidae.
GCCUUCGUGGUGUAAUGGUCAGCACACUGAGCCGGUAUUUCAGAGGUCCGCGGUUCGAUUCCUGGCGAAGGCG